AGCUAAACCAUGUCCAUAGCAGCAGCAGUUAACCAUGAGGCUAUCAAAUCUUCAACUCCAGCAGCAGCAAACCACGAGGUUACAGAUAUUCAACCUCAACAGCAGCAGCAAAGCAUAUGGUAAUGAAAUCCAUAUCGCUAUCAAGUCUCCAGCAGCAGCAGCAGCAGCAGCAGCAGCAGAAGAGCUACAAAAGCUUCAACAUCGGCAAGGACUUAAACUAACCAUUUGCAAAAAUGCUCCUCCGAGGUUUUGUAAAGCAGAACCCUUCAUCAUCAGCUACAUGACAGAUCUAGCUGGUACAUUGAAUGGUUUUCUAGACCAAAUCCAACCUGACUAAAACAAGUACC
This 347-nucleotide long non-coding RNA is filed under the name Capsicum annuum. RNAcentral describes it as "long non-coding RNA (CANN_LNC006094)". The record is from RNAcentral. Lineage: Eukaryota; Viridiplantae; Streptophyta; Magnoliopsida; Solanales; Solanaceae.